GACGAACGCUGGCGGCGUGCUUAACACAUGCAAGUCGAACGGAAAGGCCCUGCUUUUGUGGGGUGCUCGAGUGGCGAACGGGUGAGUAACACGUGAGUAACCUGCCCUUGACUUUGGGAUAACUUCAGGAAACUGGGGCUAAUACCGGAUAGGAGCUCCUGCUGCAUGGUGGGGGUUGGAAAGUUUCGGCGGUUGGGGAUGGACUCGCGGCUUAUCAGCUUGUUGGUGGGGUAGUGGCUUACCAAGGCUUUGACGGGUAGCCGGCCUGAGAGGGUGACCGGCCACAUUGGGACUGAGAUACGGCCCAGACGCCUACGGGAGGCAGCAGUGGGGAAUAUUGCCCAGUGGGCGGAAGCCUGAUGCGGCACCGCCGCGUGCGGGAUGACGGCCUUCGGGUUGUAAACCGCUUUCGGCCGUGACGAAGCGUGAGUGACGGUAAUGGGUAAAGAAGCACCGGCUAACUACGUG
Molecule: ribosomal RNA, 468 nt
Filed under: uncultured bacterium
Lineage: Bacteria
Description: partial 16S ribosomal RNA
Rfam family: Bacterial small subunit ribosomal RNA
Source: RNAcentral